CAAUAGAUAAAAUACAAUUUGUAAAAAUGGUUGAGAUGGUUUACCAUUUUAGGGGAAAAAUUACAGCCGUUGAAUCCAUAUUUCCAUGAACUUGGCUUGCCGGUAAACCUUUUAAAUUUGCCGAAAAACUAAAAACAACGACAAAAAUUUACCCCAUCCCCCAACAGUGACACCUACCCCAUCAUCUCUAAUUUAAAUCAAG
This 202-nucleotide long non-coding RNA is filed under the name Capsicum annuum. Its description in RNAcentral is "long non-coding RNA (CANN_LNC012397)". The record is from RNAcentral. Lineage: Eukaryota; Viridiplantae; Streptophyta; Magnoliopsida; Solanales; Solanaceae.